GCGGGAAUAGCUCAGUUGGUAGAGCACAACCUUGCCAAGGUUGGGGUCGCGAGUUCGAGCCUCGUUUCCCGCUCCAAUU
This 79-nucleotide transfer RNA is filed under the name Histophilus somni 129PT. RNAcentral's name for it is "tRNA-Gly". It matches the Rfam family "tRNA". From Rfam's summary of the family: Transfer RNA (tRNA) molecules are approximately 80 nucleotides in length. The record is from RNAcentral. Lineage: Bacteria; Pseudomonadati; Pseudomonadota; Gammaproteobacteria; Pasteurellales; Pasteurellaceae.